Long non-coding RNA from Corapipo altera (White-ruffed manakin), 746 nucleotides. RefSeq lists it as uncharacterized. NCBI's taxonomy places the organism in Eukaryota, Metazoa, Chordata, Aves, Passeriformes, Pipridae. The transcript is spliced from 3 exons. The record is from RefSeq and is a predicted model, not a curated record.
UGCUGUGGUGUACAGAGGCUGAGGACAGAGCAAGGACAAACCUCCUGCUUUUAAUUUUGCUGAGGGUGUAAAAUGAGUCGAGGCUUUCUGCAGUCAGUAUUCUAUUCAUAUCUUUUGUGUCCGAUGCUAUUUUUGUUGGCUGUGCCCCUGGAGGUGGAGGUGUGGAAGUGCGUUUCUGCUGGUCUUUGCAAGCGGUGUAGAUGUUUCCUCUGUUCCAGGCACCACCUCAGACGCUGCGGCCUUACAGGACGAGUAGGCGGAUGUCAGCGUGGCCAUUUCUCACCUGUCUGUAACUUUUUAAUACUUCCUUUUAUUUUGGCUUUGCAUUUCUUCCAUGGAACGAACAUCUCUGGGUAGCCACUGGGAGGUGUAAACGGCUUGGGAUGGAAACCACAGCUUGUAGGUGCGCCCUCUGCCAGGCUUUUCUGGCACCCGAGGAAGCCCAGACUCUGCCUGUUCCCAAGCGAAAGGGAUAUUACCAGCUGCUCGGUGAGAAAACAAAUUCACAGAGAUACAGGAAAGCGUGUUAAGUUGGUGGGAAGCAACGGGCAUGAGAUUCCUGGCAGCUCGGGUGACUGACAUUAUUUUGGAACCUGAUUCUCGAACAUCUGGGAUUAGCUCUCCUGGAAAUGUGAGGACGUGGGCCCUCUAGUGCCACUUGGAAAAUGCCGGUAUUCCAGCCCACAGUUCUGCAAGGGAGGUGUUAUUUGGCAAGUCUCCUGCAUGUGGCUGGUCCAGCAACAGGA